This 775-nucleotide ribosomal RNA is filed under the name uncultured Neocallimastigales. RNAcentral's name for it is "partial large subunit ribosomal RNA". It matches the Rfam family "Eukaryotic large subunit ribosomal RNA", at positions 22 to 640 of the family's 3401-position model. Lineage: Eukaryota; Fungi; Neocallimastigomycota; Neocallimastigomycetes; Neocallimastigales. The record is from RNAcentral.
GUACACGCUGUGACUAGCAUAUCAAUAAGCGGAGGAAAAGAAACUAACAAGGAUUCCCCUAGUAACGGCGAGUGAAGCGGGAAGAGCUCAAAUUUGUAAAUCUUAAAGGGUUUCCCUUUACGAAUUGUAGUUUAAAGAAGUGUUUUCUGUUGAGGUUUUGGUAAAAGUUCUUUGGAAUAGGACAUCAUAGAGGGUGAGAAUCCCGUAUUUGACCUUUACUUUCAACUUUGUGAUACACUUUCAAAGAGUCGGAUUGUUUGGGAAUGCAGUCCAAAAUGGGUGGUAAAUUUCAUCUAAAGCUAAAUAUUGGCGAGAGACCGAUAGCGAACAAGUACCGUGAGGGAAAGAUGAAAAGAACUUUGAAAAGAGAGUUAAACAGUACGUGAAAUUGUCAAAAGGGAAGCGUUUGACACCAGUGUUGUUUUUCUGAAAAUCAAUUAAAGGAACUGUUUAUGCUAAGUUGUUUAGACUUUAUCAGCUAACUGUUUAGUUUUGAGCUUUUCUUUAAUGCACUUUUCAGUUAACAAGUCAACAUCAAUUUCUUUUGCUGUAAAAAAGCUUGAGGAAGGUGGCUUGAGAUUCGUCUUAAGUGUUUAUAGCCUCUUGCCUAUGCAGUCGGAGAGAUUGAGGUCUGCAGCGUAGAUCCUUCGGGGCUAAAUGCAUUUGUGCUAAGUUAUAGCACUUUAUAGACAACUUGUUGACUAUGAUUUGUCUUGUAGCUUACUCGCUUAUGUUAUUUUACCUACGCUUAGGAUGUUGACGCGCGUGUGUGCGU